This 68-nucleotide transfer RNA is filed under the name Marmota monax (woodchuck). RNAcentral's name for it is "tRNA.Ala". Lineage: Eukaryota; Metazoa; Chordata; Mammalia; Rodentia; Sciuridae. The record is from RNAcentral.
GGAUUGUGGCUUAGUGGUAGAUCUCUUACCUAGCACGUGCGAGGCCCUGGGUUCGAUCCUUAGCACCA